This 379-nucleotide ribosomal RNA is filed under the name uncultured eukaryote. RNAcentral's name for it is "partial 18S ribosomal RNA". It matches the Rfam family "Eukaryotic small subunit ribosomal RNA", at positions 592 to 975 of the family's 1831-position model. The record is from RNAcentral.
CAAUAGCGUAUAUUAAAGUUGUUGCAGUUAAAAAGCUCAUAGUUGGAUUUGUGGUGUACUUCGGCGGCCUGUCACUAUGUGAUGGAGCUUGCUGAAGUCGCCAUCCUUGGGUGGAUCCUGUGUGGCAUUAAGUUGUCGUGCAGGGGAUGCCCAUCGUUUACUGUGAAAAAAUUAGAGUGUUCAAAGCAGGCUUAUGCCGUUGAAUAUAUUAGCAUGGAAUAAUAAGAUAGGACCUUGGUACUAUUUUGUUGGUUUGCGCACCAAGGUAAUGAUUAAUAGGGACAGUUGGGGGUAUUCGUAUUUCAUUGUCAGAGGUGAAAUUCUUGGAUUUUUGAAAGACGAACUACUGCGAAAGCAUUUACCAAGGAUGUUUNGAUUA